CGAAUUUCCGUUGAUGAUAUCGAUUGAUUGUUGUGGUUAUGUAGAGACCCACUGUGGAAGUAACCGAUCACAAGGCCCAUGGUUCCAUUCCAGAGCCUGGAUCAGUUGUCCUUGCUAGAGUAAGGGAUCAUCAACAAGAUCAUUGCAUAACAUAGCUCACUUUCUCCAAUCAUGAAGCAGAUUGUUGGACUGAUUCGUGUAUGUAAAUCUUGCCGACGUUUCUUUCAUCAUAGCAGGUUACCAAAGUGAUGGAAAGGAUGGCUUCAGCUGAUAUUAUGUGUCUUGGCACGAAGUCUGAGCGGUAUAUGCAGUAUUCCCCUUGAAUAAUGACUACAUAGGCGUUGCAUUUAUCUCGUGCAUAUUCGGUUGUAGCUUGUCUAGUGAAGUUAGUUGCUGUUCUGUUUCGUUUUCAAAACGUCAUUUGGUUUAUAAGCUGUUUCUAUCAACAGGCUUCAAGAUGUAAGAGCCACCGAAAUUGACAAAGUAGAUAUGCUUUCGUCUUUUCGCCAGGGUGACAUUGUGAGAGCUCAUGUUUAAGCUGUCGCUUGGAGACGCUAAGGCUUAUUAUCUGUCAACCGCAAAGAAUGAACUGGGCGUUAUUUCUGCAGAGUGAAGCAGCAGCAGCAGCAGGUGAAAUGAUGGUGGCAAGAAGCUGGACAGAGAUGCAGUGCCCCGGGACAGGGCAAAUCAAGCAUAGAAAGGUCGCUGAGGUCGGAGGAUGAAAAGAUGAACAGAGAAUUAAUGUGUUGUCUUCUUUCUUCUCCUUUCGUUCCUUUUUCGAAAGCGUGUAACCUUAGAGUUUCUUAUAGAUGGUGCUCAGGGAAAUAGGUUAAAGUCAGAAGUUAUGGUAGUCUGAUAUAAGAUUUUGUAACUCCGUCGACUCCCCCAUGCACCUCUAUGUGAAGGUUUUACAAACUAGCAGUCCCCUGUUUACGGGGUCGCUUGCGUUUAAC
This is a long non-coding RNA of Pyrus x bretschneideri (Chinese white pear), 953 nucleotides long. RefSeq lists it as uncharacterized. The record is from RefSeq and is a predicted model, not a curated record. NCBI's taxonomy places the organism in Eukaryota, Viridiplantae, Streptophyta, Magnoliopsida, Rosales, Rosaceae. The transcript is spliced from 3 exons.